RNAcentral lists this ribosomal RNA (467 nucleotides) under uncultured bacterium. RNAcentral's name for it is "partial 16S ribosomal RNA". It matches the Rfam family "Bacterial small subunit ribosomal RNA", at positions 28 to 507 of the family's 1533-position model. The record is from RNAcentral.
GACGAACGCUGGCGGCGUGCUUAACACAUGCAAGUCGAACGGAAAGGCCUUGCUUUUGUGGGGUGCUCGAGUGGCGAACGGGUGAGUAACACGUGAGUACCUGCCCUUGACUUUGGGAUAACUUCAGGAAACUGGGGCUAAUACCGGAUAGGAGCUCCUGCUGCAUGGUGGGGGUUGGAAAGUUUCGGCGGUUGGGGAUGGACUCGCGGCUUAUCAGCUUGUUGGUGGGGUAGUGGCUUACCAAGGCUUUGACGGGUAGCCGGCCUGAGAGGGUGACCGGCCACAUUGGGACUGAGAUACGGCCCAGACUCCUACGGGAGGCAGCAGUGGGGAAUAUUGCACAAUGGGCGGAAGCCUGAUGCAGCAACGCCGCGUGCGGGAUGACGGCCUUCGGGUUGUAAACCGCUUUCGCCUGUGACGAAGCGUGAGUGACGGUAAUGGGUAAAGAAGCACCGGCUAACUACGUG